UACGUAGGGUGCAAGCGUUGUCCGGAAUUAUUGGGCGUAAAGAGCUCGUAGGCGGUUUGUCGCGUCUGCUGUGAAAACUCGGGGCUUAACUCCGGGCCUGCAGUGGGUACGGGCAGACUAGAGUGCGGUAGGGGAGACUGGAAUUCCUGGUGUAGCGGUGAAAUGCGUAGAUAUCGUAAGGAAGACCAGUGGCGAAGGCGGGUCUCUGGACAGUUCCUGACGCUGAGGCACGAAGGUCAGGGGAGCAAACGGG
Molecule: ribosomal RNA, 253 nt
Filed under: uncultured bacterium
Lineage: Bacteria
Description: partial 16S ribosomal RNA
Rfam family: Bacterial small subunit ribosomal RNA
Source: RNAcentral